Molecule: long non-coding RNA, 702 nt
Filed under: Pan troglodytes (chimpanzee)
Lineage: Eukaryota; Metazoa; Chordata; Mammalia; Primates; Hominidae
Description: long non-coding RNA NONPTRT006574
Source: RNAcentral
UUAGAGCUCACCACCCCGGGUGUCAGUCACUGCAGACAUCACUGCAGACACAGAGAUGGCCAUUAGAGCUCACCACCCCGGGUGUCAGUCACUGCAGACAUCACUGCAGACACAGAGACGGCCAUUAGAGCUCACCACCCCGGGUGUUAGUCACUGCAGACAUCACUGCAGACACAGAGACGGCCAUUAGAGCUCACCACCCCGGGCGUUAGUCACUGCAGACAUCACUGCAGACAUCACUGCAGACACAGAGACGGCCAUUAGAGCUCACCACCCCAAGCGUUAGUCACUGCAGACAUCACUGCAGACAGAGAAGGCCAUUAGAGCUCACCACCCCAGGUGUUAGUCACUGCAGACAUCACUGCAGACAUCACUGCAGACACAGAGACGGCCAUUAGAGCUCACCACCCCGAGUGUUAGUCACUGCAGACAUCACUGCAGACACAGAGACGGCCAUUAGAGCUCACCACCCCAGGCGUUAGUCACUGCAGACAUCACUGCAGACACAGAGACGGCCAUUAGAGCUCACCACCCCAAGUGUUAGUCACUGCAGACAUCACUGCAGACACAGAGACGGCCAUCAGAGCUCACCACCCCAAGAGUUAGUCACUGCAGACAUCACUGCAGACACAGAGAUGGCCAUUAGAGCUCACCACCCCGGGUGUUAGUCACUGCAGACAUCACUGCAGACACAGAGACGGC